Molecule: ribosomal RNA, 491 nt
Filed under: Botrytis cinerea
Lineage: Eukaryota; Fungi; Ascomycota; Leotiomycetes; Helotiales; Sclerotiniaceae
Description: eukaryotic LSU rRNA
Rfam family: 5.8S ribosomal RNA (bases 126-279)
Source: RNAcentral
AAACCUCCCACCCUUGUGUAUUAUUACUUUGUUGCUUUGGCGAGCUGCCUUCGGGCCUUGUAUGCUCGCCAGAGAAUACCAAAACUCUUUUUAUUAAUGUCGUCUGAGUACUAUAUAAUAGUUAAAACUUUCAACAACGGAUCUCUUGGUUCUGGCAUCGAUGAAGAACGCAGCGAAAUGCGAUAAGUAAUGUGAAUUGCAGAAUUCAGUGAAUCAUCGAAUCUUUGAACGCACAUUGCGCCCCUUGGUAUUCCGGGGGGCAUGCCUGUUCGAGCGUCAUUUCAACCCUCAAGCUUAGCUUGGUAUUGAGUCUAUGUCAGUAAUGGCAGGCUCUAAAAUCAGUGGCGGCGCCGCUGGGUCCUGAACGUAGUAAUAUCUCUCGUUACAGGUUCUCGGUGUGCUUCUGCCAAAACCCAAAUUUUUCUAUGGUUGACCUCGGAUCAGGUAGGGAUACCCGCUGAACUUAAGCAUAUCAAUAGCCGGGAGGAAAA